GUGCCAACAGCCGCGGUAAUACCGGCAGCCCGAGUGAUGGCCGAUCUUAUUGGGCCUAAAGCGUCCGUAGCCAGCCGAACAAGUCCGUUGGGAAAUCCACCCGCCUAACGGGUGGGCGUCCAGCGGAAACUGUCCGGCUUGGGACCGGAAGGCUCGAGGGGUACGUCUGGGGUAGGAGUGAAAUCCCGUAAUCCCGAACGGACCACCGAUGGCGAAAGCACUCUGAGAAGACGGCUUCGACAGUGAGGGACGAAAGCUCGGGUCUCAAACCGGAUUAGAAACCCGAUAGUCC
Molecule: ribosomal RNA, 292 nt
Filed under: uncultured bacterium
Lineage: Bacteria
Description: partial 16S ribosomal RNA
Rfam family: Archaeal small subunit ribosomal RNA
Source: RNAcentral